Long non-coding RNA from Drosophila grimshawi, 132 nucleotides. It matches the Rfam family "Bithoraxoid conserved region 3". Rfam says of the family: Bithoraxoid (bxd) is a long non-coding RNA found in Drosophila. It silences the expression of the Ultrabithorax (Ubx) gene by transcriptional interference. The record is from Rfam. NCBI's taxonomy places the organism in Eukaryota, Metazoa, Arthropoda, Insecta, Diptera, Drosophilidae.
AUGAAGGAGACAAGUCGACAUGUUCCCAUCGACAAUGGCAACGAUAUGUUGGAAAUCUCUAGUGUUUACAUUGGGAAAACAAUUGAAAUCAUAACAAUAAAAUCAAAUUCGAAAUUUGUGAGUACGCCAACG